Molecule: long non-coding RNA, 657 nt
Filed under: Struthio camelus australis
Lineage: Eukaryota; Metazoa; Chordata; Aves; Struthioniformes; Struthionidae
Description: lncRNA (ENSSCUG00000000466.1)
Source: RNAcentral
CUUGACAUCACUGUUUUACCUAUACAGUAUUUAAAUGCUAUAUAAAGCUUGACCAGUUACAUCCUCAUACAGGCCUAGUUACAUAGGUCUUCUGCCUUGCUUCUGUGCUGCAGGUAAGUAUCAAGAGAGUCAGUGGAGAACAAUCUGAAAAAUACAGCAAUUGUGCUACAGAUCAAGCAGAAUCAGCUUCGGGAAGGAGAUGCAACCACGGCUGCAAACGGACAUUUUCUGUCCGGCGCGACUUCCCUGCGAGGAGAAGCAUUACCCCAUGAGAAGAAACUAAAAGCCAGGUAGUUAUGAAAGCACAUCAAACAUCUGGGCUGCUCCCUGGAUUAGACUGAGCCAUGUCUAGAAUACUCCAAGGAUUCUUUCUGAAAAAGGAGUUUUCUUGAGGGGUUUGAGAAAUCCAGUACUCUGCAACGCAGUCUUGUGAAGCUGAGCUAUACCAAAUGAGAGAGAAGAAAGAAUUAAUGUGGGGAGAGGAAGACUGGAAGGUGUGGGGAAUCUUUACUAAAUACCUCUCUGAAGAUAUUAUGAAAAACAGAAGCAAGGAAGUCUAGCUAAUUCUUUGUGAUAUGGCUAAUGCAACAUUACCUUUAAGGUAAAUAACUAUGGUGGGGUGCUUUCAAACCAAAUGUAUUCAAAGUUCUGGGGAAC